AUAAAUGCAAGUCGAGCGAACAGACGAGGAGCUUGCUCCUUUGACGUUAGCGGCGGACGGGUGAGUAACACGUAGGUAACCUACCUAUAAGACUGGGAUAACUUCGGGAAACCGGAGCUAAUACCGGAUAAUAUUUCGAACCGCAUGGUUCGAUAGUGAAAGAUGGCUUUGCUAUCACUUAUAGAUGGACCUGCGCCGUAUUAGCUAGUUGGUAAGGUAACGGCUUACCAAGGCAACGAUACGUAGCCGACCUGAGAGGGUGAUCGGCCACACUGGAACUGAGACACGGUCCAGACUCCUACGGGAGGCAGCAGUAGGGAAUCUUCCGCAAUGGGCGAAAGCCUGACGGAGCAACGCCGCGUGAGUGAUGAAGGUCUUCGGAUCGUAAAACUCUGUUAUUAGGGAAGAACAAACGUGUAAGUAACUGUGCACGUCUUGACGGUACCUAAUCAGAAAGCCACGGCUAACUACGUGCCAGCAGCCGCGGUAAUACGUAGGUGGCAAGCGUUAUCCGGAAUUAUUGGGCGUAAAGCGCGCGUAGGCGGUUUUUUAAGUCUGAUGUGAAAGCCCACGGCUCAACCGUGGAGGGUCAUUGGAAACUGGAAAACUUGAGUGCAGAAGAGGAAAGUGGAAUUCCAUGUGUAGCGGUGAAAUGCGCAGAGAUAUGGAGGAACACCAGUGGCGAAGGCGACUUUCUGGUCUGUAACUGACGCUGAUGUGCGAAAGCGUGGGGAUCAAACAGGAUUAGAUACCAUGGUAGUCCACGCCGUAAACGAUGAGUGCUAAGUGUUAGGGGGUUUCCGCCCCUUAGUGCUGCAGCUCACGCAUUAAGCACUCCGCCUGGGGGAGUACGACCGCAAGGUUGAAACUCAA
Molecule: ribosomal RNA, 873 nt
Filed under: Staphylococcus hominis
Lineage: Bacteria; Bacillati; Bacillota; Bacilli; Caryophanales; Staphylococcaceae
Description: bacterial SSU rRNA
Rfam family: Bacterial small subunit ribosomal RNA
Source: RNAcentral